AAAUUGAAGAGUUUGAUCAUGGCUCAGAUUGAACGCUGGCGGCAGGCCUAACACAUGCAAGUCGAACGGUAGCACAGAGAGCUUGCUCUCGGGUGACGAGUGGCGGACGGGUGAGUAAUGUCUGGGAAACUGCCUGAUGGAGGGGGAUAACUACUGGAAACGGUGGCUAAUACCGCAUAACGUCGCAAGACCAAAGAGGGGGACCUUCGGGCCUCUUGCCAUCAGAUGUGCCCAGAUGGGAUUAGCUUGUUGGUGAGGUAACGGCUCACCAAGGCGACGAUCCCUAGCUGGUCUGAGAGGAUGACCAGCCACACUGGAACUGAGACACGGUCCAGACUCCUACGGGAGGCAGCAGUGGGGAAUAUUGCACAAUGG
RNAcentral lists this ribosomal RNA (375 nucleotides) under Salmonella enterica subsp. enterica serovar Infantis. RNAcentral describes it as "bacterial SSU rRNA". It matches the Rfam family "Bacterial small subunit ribosomal RNA", at positions 1 to 374 of the family's 1533-position model. RNAcentral also lists the same sequence under 2 other names. The record is from RNAcentral. Lineage: Bacteria; Pseudomonadati; Pseudomonadota; Gammaproteobacteria; Enterobacterales; Enterobacteriaceae.